AGAGACCGAUAGCGCACAAGUAGAGUGAUCGAAAGAUGAAAAGCACUUUGGAAAGAGAGUCAAACAGUACGUGAAAUUGUUGAAAGGGAAGCGCUUGCAACCAGACUUGCCCGCGGGUGAUCAACCGGUAUUCUUACCGGUGCACUCGCCCGUGGUCAGGCCAGCAUCGGUUUGGGCGGCUGGAUAAAGUCCACUGGAAUGUAGCUCCUCUCGGGGAGUGUUAUAGCCAGAGGUGCCAUGCAGCCCGCCCGGACCGAGGACCGCGCUUCGGCUAGGAUGCUGGCGUAAUGGUUGUAAGCGACCCGUCUUGAAACACGGACCAAGGAGUCUAACAUCUAUGCGAGUGUUUGGGUGUCAAACCCAUGCGCGUAAUGAAAGUGAACGGAGGUGGGAACCCUCAAGGGUGCACCAUCGACCGAUCCUGAUGUCUUCGGAUGGAUUUGAGUAAGAGCAUAGCUGUUGGGACCCGAAAGAUGGUGAACUAUGCCUGAAUAGGGUGAAGCCAGAGGAAACUCUGGUGGAGGCUCGCAGCGGUUCUGACGUGCAAAUCGAUCGUCAAAUUUGGGUAUAGGGGCGAAAGACUAAUCGAACCAUCUGCUACUAGAUGGCAUACGGGCCGCGUGCCCCAGUAGUCCCCGUGCGGCGGGGGCGACAUCGUCGGUCUCUUCGGGAACGCCUCCGGGCUACCCGCAGUGAGCCUCGGGCUCAUCCACAGACUAAGUGGCGGUGGCCGUGCCCUGGAGCACGGUUAGGAUAUAGUCGAUU
Molecule: ribosomal RNA, 765 nt
Filed under: Acarospora fuscata
Lineage: Eukaryota; Fungi; Ascomycota; Lecanoromycetes; Acarosporales; Acarosporaceae
Description: partial large subunit ribosomal RNA
Rfam family: Eukaryotic large subunit ribosomal RNA
Source: RNAcentral